Transfer RNA from Aureobasidium pullulans, 81 nucleotides. It matches the Rfam family "tRNA". From Rfam's summary of the family: Transfer RNA (tRNA) molecules are approximately 80 nucleotides in length. The record is from Rfam. NCBI's taxonomy places the organism in Eukaryota, Fungi, Ascomycota, Dothideomycetes, Dothideales, Saccotheciaceae.
GGCGCUUUGGCGGAGUGGUUAACGCGAUGCCCUGCUAAGGCAUUUCCUUCGGGAGCGUGUGUUCGAAUCACACAGGCGUCG